Molecule: ribosomal RNA, 1300 nt
Filed under: bacterium
Lineage: Bacteria
Description: partial 23S ribosomal RNA
Rfam family: Bacterial large subunit ribosomal RNA
Source: RNAcentral
UAGAAAGUUACUAAAGCGCAUACAACGAAUGCCUUGACACAAAUUACCGAUUAAGGACGUAGAAGGCUGCGAAAAGCCUCGGGGAGUUGCCUAACAAACUUUGAACCGAGGAUAUCCAAAUGGGGAAACCCGGCUAGAUUCAAACCUAGUCACUCUUACCUGAAUAUAUAGGGUAGGUAGAGGUAACCGCCUGAACUGAAACAUCUAAGUAGGGCGAGGAAUAGAAAGUAAACAACGAUUCUCCUAGUAGUGGCGAGCGAACGGGGAUCAGCCCAAACCUUUUAAGUUUUUGCCUGUUAAUUCAGGUAAAUAAGUUGACAGACGAAUAUUUAAAAGGGGUUGUGACAUAUAAAUUAACCAAGUUUAGGACUUGAUUUAUCAAGGCUUAAACUUGGACUAGCUAACGCUGUCACCAGUUAGCAUAAGGUUACAAAUUGCUGAGCGAGUAGAAGCAGUUGGAAAGCUGCACCAAAGACGGUGAUAGUCCGGUAUACCAAGCGAAGCAACCUUAUCAUUUAUAUUGUCGAGUAGGUCGGAACACGAGAAACUCUGACUGAAUCCGGGACGACCACGUCCCAAGGCUAAAUAUGAUUUGUGAUCGAUAGAGAACUAGUACCGUGAGGGAAAGGUUAAAAGAACCCCGGAAGGGGAGUGAAAUAGAACCUGAAAUUGUAUGCGUACAAGGACUCGGAGCAGCUUUUAGCUGUGACGGGGUGCUUUUUGUAGAACGAUCCAGCGAGUUAAUGAUUAUUGCAUGCUUAAGCCAUUUGGCGUGAGGCACAGUGAAAGCGAGCCUGAAUAGGGCGACCAUUUUGUAGUAAUUAUUAGACCCGAAACCAGGUGACCUAACCAUGGGCAGGCUGAAGCGACGGUAAAACGUCGUGGAGGGCCGAACCGUAGCGAGUUGCAACACGCCCGGAUGACUUGUGGUUAGCGGUGAAAUGCCAAUCGAACCUGGAGAUAGCUGGUUCUCCUCGAAAUAGCUUUAGGGCUAGCGUCGUACGGUAGCACUUAGGGGUAGAGCUCUGUUUCGGACUGGGGCGCGUAAGCGUACCCACCCUUGACAAACUACGAAUACUAAGUGUGGAACUACGGCAGUCAGAACGGCGGGGCUAAGCUCGUCGCUCGAAAGGGAAACAGCCCAGACCAUCAUCUAAGGUCCCUAACUAUAUGCUCAGUGGGAAACGAGGUGAGAUUUCUUAAACAAUGAGGAUGUUGGCUUAGAAGCAGCCAUUCAUUUAAAGAGUGCGUAACAGCUCACUCAUCAAGAGAUCUUGCGCGGAAAAUGUAACGGGGCUCA